This 429-nucleotide ribosomal RNA is filed under the name Acidobacteriota bacterium. RNAcentral describes it as "Acidobacteria bacterium partial 16S ribosomal RNA". It matches the Rfam family "Bacterial small subunit ribosomal RNA", at positions 355 to 776 of the family's 1533-position model. Lineage: Bacteria; Pseudomonadati; Acidobacteriota. The record is from RNAcentral.
UGGGGAAUUUUGGACAAUGGGGGAAACCCUGAUCCAGCCAUCCCGCGUGUGCGAUGAAGGCCUUCGGGUUGUAAAGCACUUUUGGCAGGAAAGAAACGUCAUGGGUUAAUACCCCGUGAAACUGACGGUACCUGCAGAAUAAGCACCGGCUAACUACGUGCCAGCAGCCGCGGUAAUACGAAGGGUGCAAGCGUUAAUCGGAAUUACUGGGCGUAAAGCGUGCGCAGGCGGUUCGGAAAGAAAGAUGUGAAAUCCCAGAGCUCAACUUUGGAACUGCAUUUAUAACUACCGGGCUAGAGUGUGUCAGAGGGAGGUGGAAUUCAGCGUGUAGCAGUGAAAUGCGUAGAUAUGCGGAGGAACACCGGUGGCGAAGGCAGCCUACUGGGAUAACACUGACGCUCAUGCACGAAAGCGUGGGGAGCAAACAGG